CCUACGGGUGGCAGCAGUGGGGAAUAUUGGACAAUGGGGGCAACCCUGAUCCAGCCAUGCCGCGUGUGUGAAGAUGGCCCUCGGGUUGUAAAGCACUUUCAGUGAGGAAGAACGCCUGGUGGUUAAUACCCAUCAGGAAAGACAUCACUCACAGAAGAAGCACCGGCUAACUCCGUGCCAGCAGCCGCGGUAAUACGGAGGGUGCGAGCGUUAAUCGGAAUUACUGGGCGUAAAGCGCGCGUAGGUGGCUUGAUAAGCCGGUUGUGAAAGCCCCGGGCUCAACCUGGGAACGGCAUCCGGAACUGUCAAGCUAGAGUGCAGGAGAGGAAGGUAGAAUUCCCGGUGUAGCGGUGAAAUGCGUAGAGAUCGGGAGGAAUACCAGUGGCGAAGGCGGCCUUCUGGACUGACACUGACACUGAGGUGCGAAAGCGUGGGUAGCAAACAGGAUUAGAUACCCCAGUAGUC
This 465-nucleotide ribosomal RNA is filed under the name Vreelandella stevensii. RNAcentral's name for it is "partial 16S ribosomal RNA". It matches the Rfam family "Bacterial small subunit ribosomal RNA", at positions 338 to 795 of the family's 1533-position model. The record is from RNAcentral. Lineage: Bacteria; Pseudomonadati; Pseudomonadota; Gammaproteobacteria; Oceanospirillales; Halomonadaceae.